AUUGAACGCUGGCGGCAUGCCUUACACAUGCAAGUCGAACGGCAUCGCGGGAAAGCUUGCUUUCCUGGCGGCGAGUGGCGAACGGGUGAGUAACACAUCGGAACGUACCGGCUAGUGGGGGAUAACCCGUCGAAAGACGGGCUAAUACCGCAUACGCUCUUCGGAGGAAAGCAGGGGACCUUUGGGCCUUGCGCUAGUCGAGCGGCCGAUGUCCGAUUAGCUAGUUGGUGGGGUAAAGGCCUACCAAGGCGACGAUCGGUAGCGGGUCUGAGAGGACGAUCCGCCACACUAGGACUGAGACACGGCCCAGACUCCUACGGGAGGCAGCAGUGGGGAAUCUUGGACAAUGGGGGCAACCCUGAUCCAGCAAUGCCGCGUGGGUGAAGAAGGCCUUCGGGUUGUAAAGCCCUUUCGGCAGGGAAGAAAUCUGCGGGGCGAAUAACCCUGCUGGAUGACGGUACCUGCAGAAGAAGCACCGGCUAACUACGUG
Molecule: ribosomal RNA, 490 nt
Filed under: uncultured bacterium
Lineage: Bacteria
Description: partial 16S ribosomal RNA
Rfam family: Bacterial small subunit ribosomal RNA
Source: RNAcentral